GAUGAACGCUAGCGGCAGGCCUAAUACAUGCAAGUCGAGCGGCAAGUCGAGGAGUAAUCUGAGACCUAGAGCGGCGUACGGGUGCGUAACGCGUAUGCAACCUACCUCAUACAGGGGGAUAGCCCGGAGAAAUCUGGAUUAAUACCCCAUGGCACAGCACAAGGGCAUCUGCGAGCUGUUAAAGAUUCAUCGGUAUGAGAUGGGCAUGCGUCUGAUUAGCUAGUUGGCGGUGUAACGGACCACCAAGGCGACGAUCAGUAGGGGUUCUGAGAGGAAGGUCCCCCA
This 285-nucleotide ribosomal RNA is filed under the name uncultured Bacteroidota bacterium. RNAcentral describes it as "uncultured Bacteroidetes bacterium partial 16S ribosomal RNA". It matches the Rfam family "Bacterial small subunit ribosomal RNA", at positions 28 to 310 of the family's 1533-position model. The record is from RNAcentral. Lineage: Bacteria; Pseudomonadati; Bacteroidota.